UACGUAGGUGGCAAGCGUUGUCCGGAUUUAUUGGGUUUAAAGGGUGCGUAGGCGGUCCUAUAAGUCAGUGCUGAAAUAUCCCGGCUUAACCGGGAGGGUGGCAUUGAUACUGCAGGACUUGAGUGAAGUCGAGGCAGGCGGAAUUGACGGUGUAGCGGUGAAAUGCUUAGAUAUCGUCAAGAACACCGAUAGUGAAGACAGCUUACUAGACUUCAACUGACGCUGAGGCACGAAAGUGUGGGGAUCAAACAGG
RNAcentral lists this ribosomal RNA (253 nucleotides) under uncultured bacterium. Its description in RNAcentral is "partial 16S ribosomal RNA". It matches the Rfam family "Bacterial small subunit ribosomal RNA", at positions 524 to 776 of the family's 1533-position model. The record is from RNAcentral.